AGGAAGUAAAAGUCGUAACAAGGUUUCCGUAGGUGAACCUGCGGAAGGAUCAUUAUUGAAUAAACUUGGUGGGUUGUAGCUGGCUUCUCGAAGCAUGUGCACACCAACCAUCUUUAUCUAUCAUCCACCUGUGCACUUGUUGUAGUCUGAGAAAUGAGAACAACAUACUCUCAAUAAGGUGAACAACCUGUUGGAUGUGGGGAAUGCAGCAUAGCUCUCUCCAAAUUGCUUGUCAUCAGUUCUUGGACUAUGUCUUUAUCAUAUACAACUAGUAUGUUACAGAAUGUAUCAAUUGGGACUUUGUGCCUAUACAAUAUCAAAACAACUUUCAGCAACGGAUCUCUUGGCUCUCGCAUCGAUGAAGAACGCAGCGAAAUGCGAUAAGUAAUGUGAAUUGCAGAAUUCAGUGAAUCAUCGAAUCUUUGAACGCACCUUGCGCUCCUUGGUAUUCCGAGGAGCAUGCCUGUUUGAGUGUCAUUAAAUUCUCAACCACACCAUGUUUCUCAAACUUGGUUGUGGCUUGGAUAAUGGGGGUAUUAUUGCGGGCUUCUGUUUGAGGUUGGCUCCCCUGAAAUGUAUUAGCAGAACUGUUUGCGGUCAGUCGCCGGUGUGAUAAUUAUCUACGCUGAAGACAAAGGCUGCUCUCUGUGUGUUCAGCUUCCAAUGGUCCAUUUGUGGACAACUUUUGAAUAUUUGACCUCAAAUCAGGUAGGACUACCCGCUGAACUUAAGCAUAUC
Molecule: ribosomal RNA, 738 nt
Filed under: Lepiota aureofulvella
Lineage: Eukaryota; Fungi; Basidiomycota; Agaricomycetes; Agaricales; Agaricaceae
Description: eukaryotic LSU rRNA
Rfam family: 5.8S ribosomal RNA (bases 324-477)
Source: RNAcentral